This 268-nucleotide ribosomal RNA is filed under the name uncultured bacterium. Its description in RNAcentral is "partial 16S ribosomal RNA". It matches the Rfam family "Bacterial small subunit ribosomal RNA", at positions 524 to 787 of the family's 1533-position model. The record is from RNAcentral.
UACGUAGGAGGCAAGCGUUGUCCGGAGUUACUGGGCGUAAAGGGCCCGCAGGCGGUGGAGUAAGUUUGGAGUGACAGUUCCCAGCUUAACCGGGAAAGGACUUCGAAAACUGCUCGACUUGAGGACUGGAGAGGAAGGCGGAAUUCCGGGUGGAGCGGUGAAAUGCGUAGAGAUCCGGAGGAACACCGACGGCGAAGGCAGCCUUCUGGAAAGUACCUGAACGCUGAGGGGCGAAAGCUAGGGGAGGCGAAACGGGAUUGAGAUACCC